This 23-nucleotide non-coding RNA is filed under the name Arabidopsis thaliana (thale cress). Lineage: Eukaryota; Viridiplantae; Streptophyta; Magnoliopsida; Brassicales; Brassicaceae. The record is from RNAcentral.
UUGGCAUCGGUGCUUUGGGAAUC